RNAcentral lists this long non-coding RNA (3062 nucleotides) under Sus scrofa (pig). RNAcentral describes it as "lncRNA (ENSSSCG00040072585.1)". The record is from RNAcentral. Lineage: Eukaryota; Metazoa; Chordata; Mammalia; Artiodactyla; Suidae.
GAAUAAAAAUAAAAACGACGAGGAGAAUUUUUUAAAAAGUAUAACCCUCAAAGCUGAUGAGGAAGCUGUUAGACAGGCAGUCUCAUUUAUUGUUAAUAGAAGUGCAAUUUCUCAAAUCAUUUUAGAAUGCAGUGUAAUGAUACAUCAUAAGCUUAAAUAUAUUCAGUCUUUGACCCAGUAAUUCCAUUUCUGAGAAGCUAAGGAAAUAGCCAUCUAUGAAGAAGCUUCAUGCACAAAGAUAUUUAUUACGUCAUUAUUUAUACAGGGAAAAAUUGGAAAUAACCUAACUAUAUUACAGUAGAAGUAAUCUUUGAGACUGGAUGGCCUAUAAUACAGCCAUUAAAAAUAACAGUUACUCAUGGAAAAAUAAAACAAAGUAAAAUGCACUAGGGAGUUCCUGCUGUGGUGCAGUGGUCAUGAAUCCGAAUCCGACUAGUAUCCAUGAGGAUGUAGGUUUGAUCCCUGGCCUUGCUUAGUAGGUUAAGGAUCUGGCAUUGCAAAGGAGGCUAUGAUCCCACGUGUGGGAUUGCUGUGGCUGUGAUGUUGGCUGUCAGCUCUAGCUCUGAUUUGACCUCUAGACUGGGAACUUCCAUAUGCCAUGGAUGUGGUAAAAGAAAACCAAAACCAAAACCAAAACCAAAACCAAAACAGACUAAAAUAUUAGUAAUGAUUACUUCUAACUGGUGGGAUUAUGAAUGAUUUUCUUUUUGUUCUUUUUUAAAAAAUUUUCUUUAUUUUCUAAAAUUUCUUACAUAAGUAGCUAUUAUAAUUAGAUAUGAAAUUUAUUUUCAAGGAAUGCUUAGAAUAAGUUUACAGUAACUGGAAAAAAAAGCAGCAUACCACAUUGUACACAAAACAUAAUCUCAAUACAAACACAAAUCAGAGCAUAGGAAAUACAACAAAUUUUCAUAUUGAUUGCUUCUAGGUGACAACACCAUGUGGAAUUUUUUGUUGAUUUCCUGAUUUUCCAACUAGAGUGGGUAAAGUCAGUGUCCCACUAGUGUGUGUGCAUGUGCACAAGUACACGCACAUGAUAUUAGGAAGCUCUUCAUUGCCCACAGAUUUUUAAAAAAAUUUUUAUUUUAUAUUGAAGUAUAGCUGAUUUACAAUGUUGUGUUAAUUUCAGAGGCAGAGCAAAGUAAUGCAGUUAUACAUAUACCCAUUCUAUUUCAGAUUCUUUUCCUAUAUAGGUUAUUAAAGUAUAUACAUAUAUGUGUGUGUGUAUGUAAUUUUUUUUGGACUUUUUUUUAGGGCCACACCCGCAGCAUAUGGAGGUUCCCAGGCUAGGGGUAGAAUCAGAGCUGUAGCUGCCGGCCUACAACACAGCCACAGCAACAUGGGAUCUGAGCUGUGUCUGUGACUUACACCACAACUCACAGCAAUGCUAGAUCCUUAACCCACUGAGCAAGGCCAGGGAUUGAACCUGUGUCUUCAUGGAUGCCCAUCAGAUUCAUUUCCACUGAGCCACAAUGGGAACUCCCAUACAUUCUUUUGCACAUUCUUUUCCAUUAUAAUUUAUCACAGGAUAUUGAAUAGAGUUCCCUCUGCUAUACAGUAGGACCUUGUUGUUUAUCCAUUCUGCAUACAAUAGUUUGCAUCUGCUAAUCCCAAACUUUCAAUCUAUCCCUCGUCCACCACCCUCUCUCUUGACAACCAUAAAUUUGUUCUCUAUGUCUAUUUGUUUCAUAGAUAAGUUCAUUUGAGUCAUAUUUUCAAUUCCACCUAUAAGUGAUGGGAUAUGGUAUUUGUCUUUCUCUUCUGACUUACUUUACUUAGUAUGAUAAUAUCUAGAUCCAUCCAUUGUUGCUGCAAAUGACAUUUUUCAUGCUUUUUAUGCCUGAGUAAUAUUCCAUGGUAUAUAUGUACCACAUCUUCUUUAUCCAGUCCUCUGUCGAUGGACAUUUAGGUUGUUUGGCUAUUGUAAAUAGUGCUGCAAUGAACACUGGGUUGCAUGAAUCUUUUCGAAUUAUGGUUUUCUCUGGAUGUAUGCCCAGGAGUGAGAUUACAGGAUUAUAUUUACCAAUUUAAAAAUUAGGUCAUUUUGGGAUUCCGUUUUCGGCUCAGUGAUUAACAAACCCGAUUAGGAUCUAUGAAGAUACAGGUUCAAUCCCUGACCUUGCUCGGUGGGUUAAGGAUCUGGCAUUGCUGUGAGCUGUGGUGUAGGUCGUAGAUGUGGCUUGGCUCCUACGUUGCUGUGGCUGUGGCUGUGGCGGGCAGCUGUAGCUCCAAUUUGACCCCUAGCCUGAGAACCUCCAUAUGCCAAGGGUGCAGCCCCGAAAAGAAAAAAAAAAUUUUUGGGGGGUCAUUUGUCUUCUCAUUGUUGUGUUUGUUUGUUUAUUAAAAAAAAAUUGGGGAGUUCCCAUCGUGGCGCAGUGGUUAACGAAUCCGACUAGGAACCAUGAGGUUGCAGGUUCGGUCCCUGCCCCUGCUCAGUGGGUUAACGAUCCGGUGUUGCCGUGAGCUGUGGUGUAGGUUGCAGACGCGGCUCGGAUCCCGCGUUGCUGUGGCUCUGGCGUAGGCCAAGGCUACAGCUCCGAUUCGACCCCUAGCCUGGGAACCUCCAUAUGCAGCGGAAGCGGCCUAAGAAAUGGCAAAAAGACAAAUAAAUAAAUAAGUAAUUAAUUAAAUAAAUUUUUUUUGGCUGCACCCGUGGCAUGUGGAAGUUCCUGGGCCAGGGAUUGAACCCAUGCCACAGCUAUGACCCAAGCCACAGAAGUAACAGCACUGAAUCCUUGACCCACUGAGCCACCUUCGAAUUCUUUUUCUUUUUAAUUGUAUUUUUUUCUUUUUGGACAUACCCGCGGCAUGCGGGAGUCACACACAGACUCUGCCAUAGUCAUAGCACCUCCAGACUUCCCAUUCUAACCAUUCUAAUCAGGCCAUCACCAUGCAUCUUCCCAGCUUAGUUCUCCCAGGACUCUCAUUAUAAUUCUCUGACCCUAUUGAGAUCUUCAAUGCCCUGAUCGCUCUUUUUCACUGUCCUUUACUACCUGGACCCAGGCCUUUCCUUUCCUCCUCACCUAACCUGGACUUCGUGGCCUGGUAUUAUGGUUGCUUCGUAA